CCUAUAAAUAUUUUUUUUCUGAAAAAAUUGUUUAAAAUAAGUAUUUUAAUACUUAUUGUGGUAUUACUUAGUCCUGAAGUACUAAAAAUAUUUAGGCAGUUUUGAAGGCUUGAAGAUACUACCAGAUGACCCAGGAACAUAUGCAGAAAUUAUUGAAGACAGUGAUCCCAAGUUUCUGCCCAGUUCUAAAGAACUCUUUUAAAUUCCUUGCAAGGCUGUAAAAAAGAAACGAAAUCUGUUCCUUACAAAGAAUGCAAGUUUGGCCAAACACCAAGAUGUUGCUGCAUAGAGAAAAUAAAACAACCAGAGACAAAACCACAACAGAGCUGCUUUCAUCCCAGAAUGUUCAAGGACAGAAAGAAUAAGGACUAGGACAUGACCAGGCACGGGGCAAAGGAAGAGUAAUCAAGGGAGUCGAGAGAUUUUUAUUUUUUACUUGACCUUGUGUGAACUGUUAAUCUAAACCUAGAAAUGCUGACUUCAUCUGAAGAAUCAGAAACAGAUUUCUCCAGUUUAUUCAUUUAUUCAGCAAAUAUUUAUUGACCUUCUGUUAUGUUCUUGGCAUCAUUAUAAAUACUUGAGAUAGAACAGCAAACAAGAGGCACAAAUUCCUGCCCUUAUAGAACAUAUAUUGAGAGUGGGGAUGGGGUAGGAAUGCGUACAUACAUUGUACAUGUUGCAGUGAGUCUCUGUUAGGUGGCUGCUUUUCUCAGUUUAACCUUUAGCUGUCCAUACCUGCUGGAACCUCCAGGUUAAUGCUGCUGUUUAGGCCCAUUACCCUUUCUGAGACCCUUGUUAGUACUUAAAUAACAAAAUCUUCUUGUAUAUGAAUUGAUUGAUUUGUCUUCAUAAGUAGUAAAGAAAAGAAUUAAAAAUAGACCCAAAUUAUAUGGAAAUUUAGGACAUUGGUAUGAUACCGUAAACAAAGGAGUAUAGUAGUGCCCAUCCUUAUCGGCAGUUUUGCUUUCCACACUUUCAGUUAACCAUGGUUAACCAGAGUCUGGAAGCCAGUAAUCGUUCUGACAUAUCAGAAGGUUAGUAGUGGCCUGAUGCUGUGUCACAAUGCCUAUAUCAUUCACCUCACUUUCUCAUCACAUGGGCAACUUACCAUCUUAAAACCAUUAAUACAGUAUAAUCAGGUAUUUUGAGAGAGAGAGACCAUGUUACAAAACUGUUACAUAGACAUUGUUAUAAUUGUUCUAUUUUAUUAAUAGUUAUUGUUAAUCCUUAUAAUGCCUAAUUUAUAAAUUGAACUUUUUCUUGGGUUAAAAAAAAAUAGUGUACAAAUGGCUUGGUACUAUCUGUGCUUUCAUGCAUCCACGGAGGGUUUUGGAAUGUAUCCCUGGUGGAUAAGAGGGUACUACUGUCAUAGUCUUGGAUCCUAAAGUUAAUGUGGGUAAACCUGAAAAUACUAAAAUAGAGAAAAAUGGUAGAAAGGAUAAAUAAAAAUGAAAACUGAUUUGAGAUGAUCGACGAAAAGGUAAACCCUUUGCAGUAUCAGUGAAGGUGUAAGAGAGCAAAUGUGUAUCAGCUAAAGGAUGAAAAAGGAGAAAUAAUACAGGUAUAAAUGAAAUUAAAAGAAUUAUAUGUGAAGAUAUCUUUGUAAUAAAUUGAAAGCCCAGAGAUAGUAGCUAAUUUUUCAUGAUAGAUGGAGAACUUAAAUACAUUGAUAAACAUCAAAGAGAUUGAAAAGGUAACCAAGAGAGAAUAUUCAAAAAGGCAUAGAUGAUUCAAAAUUGAAUUCUUUUUUUUUUUAAAGAUUUUAUUUAUUCAUUU
Molecule: long non-coding RNA, 1776 nt
Organism: Mustela erminea (ermine)
Lineage: Eukaryota; Metazoa; Chordata; Mammalia; Carnivora; Mustelidae
Exons: 3
Source: RefSeq, a predicted model, not a curated record